Molecule: unclassified non-coding RNA, 560 nt
Filed under: Hevea brasiliensis (rubber tree)
Lineage: Eukaryota; Viridiplantae; Streptophyta; Magnoliopsida; Malpighiales; Euphorbiaceae
Source: RNAcentral
GAAGAAGAAAAAGAAAAAGAAGAAAGAUAAAGAAUCAGAGAAUGGUGAUGUUGGAAGUGACGAUGAAGGAAGUAAAAGCAAGAAGAAGGAUAAGAAGAAAAAGAAGAAUAAGGAUGAUGCUCAAGAGGAGUAGAGGUGAAGGUUUUUACCCCAAUUGAGUGUGCUCCUAUGUAUGUUAAAAUGCACGUCAUGUAGUUCAAAAUUUUGCCGUUUAUUCACUUGUUUUUGGGCAGGAGUUUGUUGCAGCUGAAGUUCCUGGUCAUAGACGUGCUUAUUAGUUAAUUAGUUUUACCUUUUUUAUUUGUCAAGACUUGAGUAUUUCAAUCCAUAAGGCUGUUUUCUAUCUAAAUUUUGAGAUGUUUUCUGUUUUUGUACUUCAUUGCCUGUAGAUGUCUGUAGCUGAAAUACAACUAAUCAGCUGCAUAACAACUGCCUUUGUUUGAAGCUGUAUGGUGUGUAUAGUUAGUUCUAGGGCAGGAAGUUUGCAAGGCAGUAGAAAGAUUUUGGCCACUGUUUAGCACCUUCUAUCUUAGAAGGGCUGCUCAAGUGUUGAACUAUUU